UUCGUUUCUUAGGGGAUCCCUUUAACCAACCCAAUGAAAAAAAAACCCUAACUAGAAACUUUUUUUUUUAGACUUUUGGCUGCGUAUUGAGCACUUGGCCGCGGGGACAAAUUUGUAUGUUCGACAGCUUGCAAGCGUGCAUGACAAUACAGGUAAUUUUGCGGUCGCUUCGCAUGUGUGAAAAGGCAAUCUUUCAAGGAGGUUGGACAAAAGAGUUAUUGGACGAGGUUGAAACAAUUCCAAAAUGGCGAAAUGACAGUUUUUCCAUAGCAUGAAUCGUUACGAUAACAUUAGUAACUUCAAUAUGAUGUUAUUAGUCAAUUGAGCUACAGUCUGAGGACACAAUCAUAGAGAAAGUCAUAUUCACGGUUAAUCAAACAUUCUUAUGUGCGAUAUAAACAGGGACCUCUGUACAUCGUGAUACCGUGCUAUUCGAAGUGGAAUCUUGUUGUUUCAGCGUGAUCGUCAAAAUGAAAUGAAUAAAACGAUAUAUCUUGAAUAUUUCACAAAG
Molecule: long non-coding RNA, 511 nt
Filed under: Neodiprion pinetum (white pine sawfly)
Lineage: Eukaryota; Metazoa; Arthropoda; Insecta; Hymenoptera; Diprionidae
Description: uncharacterized LOC124216825
Source: RNAcentral